This 103-nucleotide non-coding RNA is filed under the name Clostridium oryzae. RNAcentral's name for it is "THF-I sequence". It matches the Rfam family "THF (Tetrahydrofolate) riboswitch aptamer". From Rfam's summary of the family: THF riboswitch presents a pseudoknot that joins P1-P2 and the loop of P3 and two THF binding. The record is from Rfam by way of RNAcentral. Lineage: Bacteria; Bacillati; Bacillota; Clostridia; Eubacteriales; Clostridiaceae.
GGCAGAGUAGAAGGUUAUACGUAAAGUGUCAGCUAGACGGGAAGUUGCUAGCUGAACGAAAAGUCUUAAAUGACUUGCGAUUUAAUCUUCGCAUUCCGCUGCC